Molecule: ribosomal RNA, 492 nt
Filed under: uncultured bacterium
Lineage: Bacteria
Description: partial 16S ribosomal RNA
Rfam family: Bacterial small subunit ribosomal RNA
Source: RNAcentral
AGUGAACGCUGGCGGUAGGCCUAACACAUGCAAGUCGAACGGCAGCACAGUAAGCGCUUGCUCUUACGGGUGGCGAGUGGCGGACGGGUGAGGAAUACAUCGGAAUCUACUUUUUCGUGGGGGAUAACGUAGGGAAACUUACGCUAAUACCGCAUACGACCUACGGGUGAAAGCAGGGGAUCUUCGGACCUUGCGCGAUUGAAUGAGCCGAUGUCGGAUUAGCUAGUUGGCGGGGUAAAGGCCCACCAAGGCGACGAUCCGUAGCUGGUCUGAGAGGAUGAUCAGCCACACUGGAACUGAGACACGGUCCAGACUCCUACGGGAGGCAGCAGUGGGGAAUAUUGGACAAUGGGCGCAAGCCUGAUCCAGCCAUACCGCGUGGGUGAAGAAGGCUUUCGGGUUGUAAAGCCCUUUUGUUGGGAAAGAAAAGCAGCAGGUUAAUACCCCGCUGUUCUGACGGUACCCAAAGAAUAAGCACCGGCUAACUUCGUG